This 1284-nucleotide long non-coding RNA is filed under the name Sinocyclocheilus grahami. RNAcentral describes it as "lncRNA (ENSSGRG00000009394.1)". The record is from RNAcentral. Lineage: Eukaryota; Metazoa; Chordata; Actinopteri; Cypriniformes; Cyprinidae.
GGAAAGGUGGAGAAGACACACAUGACAGUCAUCAAAACUUACCUGCUCCAUCCAAAUUUCCAACAGCAUCAGAUAAUAGAGGCAGUGAGAGAGUGUGUGUCUCUGUCUGCUCCAGGACCUCAUGUGAUCGCACUCGUACUGCAGUAUAAGGACUUCAGUGAGGAGGACACACACAGAGUGAAAUAUGUGCUGAACCUCUUCAGUGAGCAGGCCAUUAAACACACUAUAGUGGUGACCUCUGAUGAAGAGCCACCCACAUCCAAAUGGACUUCUAAGAUAUGGUAUAAUACAGUUUAUAAUUUAAUAAAGGAGUGUGGAGGAGGACACCUUAAGUUUGAUACAAUAAACCCAGGAUGGCGCUCUGAGUUGAUCAGAAGGACAGAAGAGAUACUCAAGAAAGAACAUGAAGAAUUUCUCAUCUGUAACAUGUAUGAGGAUGGAGGUGAUGAAGCAUCAGUGGAUGAAGAUCUGAGCAGAUCUGGAGCUUCAGAUAGAGACGAUGAGAAACAGAAGAAGGAUUCAGAUCUCAAAGAGAGCACAAAAACAGGACGUGAUGGAGGAGUGACGACUACUAAAUCAAAGCUGAACAUCGUGCUGUGUGGAAAUCAUCCAACACUCAAGGGUUCAGUGUCUAGAAUCUUUAGAGGGAUAAUAAAUAAACAAAAGAAUAAACAAAUAAAUAAACUUUUACCUCAGAAAGAGAGGAGCAAUGUGAGUGUGAAGAGAGAUGGAAUGAUUAAUGGACGGCAGAUCAGUGUAAUAGAGCUUCCAGCUCUCUCUCGUCUCUCAGAGGAGGACGUGAUGCGGGAGACUCACCGCUGUGUGUCUCUCUGUGAUCCUGGAGUUCAUCUUUUCAUCCUCGUUACUCCUGUCAGUCCACACACUAAUGAAGACCGAGCAGAAAUGGAGAAGAUUAAAAGAAUAUUUAACUCUAAUGAGCACUUCAUGGUGCUUUUCUUUACUGAACUCACUGUUGACAAAAGUGUUUCAGAUUUUGUAGCGUCCACAGAGUCUCAGAGUGUUGUGAGUCUCUAUGGGAGCUGGUACAAUGUGAUGGGGUUACAGGACCAGAGAAACUCUCAACAGAUCUCGGCCAUGUUAGACUGUAUAGAGAGCAUGAAGACUGAACCCUAUUCUCUUCAGACGUAUAUAAGAGCUCCAGAGAGGAGAGUCAGACAUGAACUAGAGGAGAAACUGAGAGUGAGAGAUAAUGAAAUCAAAGAGUUACAGCAGAAGAUCAAGACACUGGGUGAGUGCAUUCAUUUAUUUUUAAUAGGACAUCUA